This 996-nucleotide ribosomal RNA is filed under the name uncultured bacterium. RNAcentral's name for it is "bacterial SSU rRNA". It matches the Rfam family "Bacterial small subunit ribosomal RNA", at positions 355 to 1375 of the family's 1533-position model. The record is from RNAcentral.
UGGGGAAUAUUGCACAAUGGGGGAAACCCUGAUGCAGCGACGCCGCGUGGAGGAAGAAGGUCUUCGGAUUGUAAACUCCUGUUGUUGGGGAAGAUAAUGACGGUACCCAACAAGGAAGUGACGGCUAACUACGUGCCAGCAGCCGCGGUAAAACGUAGGUCACAAGCGUUGUCCGGAAUUACUGGGUGUAAAGGGAGCGCAGGCGGGAAGACAAGUUGGAAGUGAAAUCUAUGGGCUCAACCCAUAAACUGCUUUCAAAACUGUUUUUCUUGAGUAGUGCAGAGGUAGGCGGAAUUCCCGGUGUAGCGGUGGAAUGCGUAGAUAUCGGGAGGAACACCAGUGGCGAAGGCGGCCUACUGGGCACCAACUGACGCUGAGGCUCGAAAGUGUGGGUAGCAAACAGGAUUAGAUACCCUGGUAGUCCACACCGUAAACGAUGAUUACUAGGUGUUGGGAGGAUUGACCCCUUCAGUGCCGCAGUUAACACAAUAAGUAAUCCACCUGGGGAGUACGACCGCAAGGUUGAAACUCAAAGGAAUUGACGGGGGCCCGCACAAGCAGUGGAGUAUGUGGUUUAAUUCGACGCAACGCGAAGAACCUUACCAAGUCUUGACAUCCCUUGACAGACAUAGAAAUAUGUAAUCUCUUCGGAGCAAGGAGACAGGUGGUGCAUGGUUGUCGUCAGCUCGUGUCGUGAGAUGUUGGGUUAAGUCCCGCAACGAGCGCAACCCUUAUGGUCAGUUACUACGCAAGAGGACUCUGGCCAGACUGCCGUUGACAAAACGGAGGAAGGUGGGGAUGACGUCAAAUCAUCAUGCCCUUUAUGACUUGGGCUACACACGUACUACAAUGGCGUUAAACAAAGAGAAGCAAGACCGCGAGGUGGAGCAAAACUCAGAAACAACGUCCCAGUUCGGACUGCAGGCUGCAACUCGCCUGCACGAAGUCGGAAUUGCUAGUAAUCGUGGAUCAGCAUGCCACGGUGAAUACGUUCCC